RNAcentral lists this ribosomal RNA (468 nucleotides) under uncultured bacterium. RNAcentral describes it as "partial 16S ribosomal RNA". It matches the Rfam family "Bacterial small subunit ribosomal RNA", at positions 28 to 507 of the family's 1533-position model. The record is from RNAcentral.
GACGAACGCUGGCGGCGUGCUUAACACAUGCAAGUCGAACGGAAAGGCCCUGCUUUUGUGGGGUGCUCGAGUGGCGAACGGGUGAGUAACACGUGAGUAACCUGCCCUUGACUUUGGGAGAACUUCAUGAAACUGGGGCUAAUACCGGAUAGGAGCUCCUGCUGCAUGGUGGGGGUUGGAAAGUUUCGGCGGUUGGGGAUGGACUCGCGGCUUAUCAGCUUGUUGGUGGGGUAGUGGCUUACCAAGGCUUUGACGGGUAGCCGGCCUGAGAGGGUGACCGGCCACAUUGGGACUGAGAUACGGCACAGACUCCUAUGGGAGGCAGCAGUGGGGAAUAUUGCACAAUGGGAGGAAGCCUGAUGCAGUAACGCCGUGUGCGGGAUGACGGCCUUCGGGUAGUAAUCCGCUUCUGCCUGUGACGAAGUGUGAGUGACGGUAAUGGGUAAAGAAGCACCGGCUAACUACGUG